UCAAACAAAAGUAAAGAAUCUCUUUAAUUUUAAAGAAGACAACAAACGUAACAACAAGAAAUAGAGAAAACAGUGAAAAGGAAAGAAAUAUUAAGAGAAUUUAAAAAUUAAAAAUUGCAAUACUAUUUGCAUUCAGUGCGUUCAAACGAAUAAGAAAAUAAAUUCCAACAAAUCCCUUAAUUUCGCAGUUACUGUGUUUGCAUCACAAAAUUUCAUCCACCAAAAUCAAAACUGGAAAUUAUUACCUCUUUGCUCAGCUUCUCUUGAUCAGACAAAUACAACCGCAGAUUACAACCAACUCGACCAACCCAAAGCAGCAGCAACAACCACCCAAGUCGUGUACAACAUCGCGAACCAGAUGUUUACAGAUGUACAUUGUGUAAACGUUUUCAUGCUCUACGAUUUUGUCAAAAAUUCCUAAACAUGUCUGUGAAAAGAAGAGAAGAAAUGGUCAGCAGAAAUCGUUAUUGCAGGAACUGUCUAGCAAGAAGUCAUAACAUCAAAUCAUGUACAUCCAGAGAUACCUGCAAGAAAUGUGGACAUUUACAUCACACGCUCUUACACCCUGUACACAUUCGGUUCGAGCGCACAGGAGAUGUUCAGAGGAGAACGUCGAGCCAACAUCCAACUGUAUCACAAACUGAAAGACAUCAACAAAAUCAAAACUCCACACUCCACACUCUCGGCAACACCAGACUCCAAGAUACUUUUACAAGCCAUUAAAUCACUGGCUCAAGUACUUUGCGUUAAUGACAACACACCAACUGUUGCCUAAAGGCAAGACCGGCGCCAUGUCCAAAGAAGCUUUGGACACAAAAUAUAAAAUAUUGAAUUUAAUAAGUAAAAUGUAAUAGAUUAAUAUCGCUUAAAUAUUAAGAAGUAAAGAAUUGUAAACACUAUUUAGUACCUACUCGCCACAAAUUCCGAAUAAUUUAAGUUACAUGAAAAACGAAGAUACUAACUUAAAUUAGAAUUUAUAAACUUCACUUAUCCUACAACCGUCCUGGAGACCACUUGAAUUCAAUAAAAUUAUAAUCAAAACCAA
Calliphora vicina (urban bluebottle blowfly) is the source of this 1045-nucleotide long non-coding RNA. RefSeq lists it as uncharacterized. NCBI's taxonomy places the organism in Eukaryota, Metazoa, Arthropoda, Insecta, Diptera, Calliphoridae. The record is from RefSeq and is a predicted model, not a curated record. The transcript has 2 exons.